RNAcentral lists this ribosomal RNA (552 nucleotides) under Onychodactylus fischeri (Fischer's clawed salamander). Its description in RNAcentral is "partial 16S ribosomal RNA". It matches the Rfam family "Bacterial large subunit ribosomal RNA", at positions 1818 to 2602 of the family's 2925-position model. Lineage: Eukaryota; Metazoa; Chordata; Amphibia; Caudata; Hynobiidae. The record is from RNAcentral.
GCCUCUUGCAAUUAAAGUAUAAGAGGUCCUGCCUGCCCAGUGACAUUAGUUUAACGGCCGCGGUAUUAUGACCGUGCAAAGGUAGCGUAAUCACUUGUCUUUUAAAUAAAGACCUGUAUGAAUGGCAAAACGAAAGUUCAACUGUCUCCCUAAGUUAAUCAGUGAAAUUGAUUUUUCCGUGCAGAAGCGGAAAUAAAUUUAUAAGACGAGAAGACCCUAUGGAGCUUCAAAUAUAAAUCAAUUGUUUUAAUUAAAAAACCAUAAAUAUAAUAAAACAUAAUGAUUAAAAUUUUAGGUUGGGGCGACCACGGAAAAAAACAAAACUUCCGAGAUGAAAUAUUAUUAAUGAACAACAGUUCUAAAAAAUAAAAUAUUUAACAUAAUUGAUCCAAUAUUUGAUCAACGAACCAAGUUACCCUAGGGAUAACAGCGCAAUCCUUUCUAAGAGUCCUUAUCGACGAAUGGGUUUACGACCUCGAUGUUGGAUCAGGACACCCCAAUGGUGUAGCCGCUAUUAAAGGUUCGUUUGUUCAACGAUUAAAGUCCUACGUG